GGCCAGCAGCCGCGGUAAUACGUAGGGGGCGAGCGUUGUCCGAAUUCACUGGGCGUAAAGCGCGCGUAGGCGGACUUUUAAGUCAGGGGUGAAAUUCCGAGGCUCAACCUCGGAACUGCCUUUGAAACUGGAAGUCUUGAGGUUUGGAGAGGGAAGUGGAAUUCCUGGUGUAGCGGUGAAAUGCGUAGAUAUCAGGAGGAACACCCGUGGCGAAGGCGGCUUCCUGGCCAUAUCCUGACGCUGAGGUGCGAAAGCUAGGGGAGCGAACGGGAUUAGAUACCCCGGUAGUCCUAGCCGUAAACGAUGGAUACUAGGUGUUAGAGGUAUCGACCCCUCUAGUGCCGGAGCUAACGCAUUAAGUAUCCCGCCUGGGGAGUACGACCGCAAGGUUGAAACUUAAAGGAAUUGGCGGGGGA
Molecule: ribosomal RNA, 416 nt
Filed under: uncultured bacterium
Lineage: Bacteria
Description: bacterial SSU rRNA
Rfam family: Bacterial small subunit ribosomal RNA
Source: RNAcentral